AAACCGUUCCCGAGGAUCUAUUGGAGGGCAAGUCUGGUGCCAGCAGCCGCGGUAAUUCCAGCUCCAAUAGCGUAUAUUAAAGUUGUUGUGGUUAAAAAGCUCGUGGUUGGAUUUCGGCGGGUAGUGGUCGGUUUGAAUUGCUUCAACACUGGCUUUUUUACCCGUGUGUUUUGCCAGAAUUUAUCGGGUGAUCUUCGCCGAUUGUCCGUUAGAACUGGCAGGUUUACUUUGAAAAAAUUAGAGUGCUCAAAGCAAGCUUGAUUGCUUGAAUAUUCGUGCAUGGAAUAAUAGAAUAGGAAGUCGUUUCUAUUUUGUUGGUUUUCGGAAAUCGACUUAAUGAUUAAUAGGGAUAGUCGGGGGCAUUUGUAUUCAAACGACAGAGGUGAAAUUCUUGGACCGUUUGAAGACAAACUACUGCGAAAGCAUUUGCCAAGAAUGUUUUCAUUAAUCAAGAACGAAAGUUAGAGGUUCGAAGGCGAUUAGAUACCGCCCUAGUUCUAACCAUAAACGAUGCCAGCUAGCGAUCUGCCGGUGCUUGAUUUUCUGGCCCGGCAGGCAGCUUCCGGGAAACCAAAGCUUGUGGGUUCCAGGGGAAGUAUGGUUGCAAAGCUGAAACUUAAAGGAAUUGACGGAAGGGCACCACCAGGAGUGGAGCCUUUGGCUUAAUUUGACUCAACACGGGAAAUCUCACCAGGCCCGGACACCAGAAGGAUUGACAGAUUGAUAGCUCUUUCUUGAUUUGGUGGGUGGUGGUGCAUGGCCGUUCUUAGUUGGUGGAGUGAUUUGUCUGGUUAAUUCCGAUAACGAACGAGACUCUGUCCUGUUAAAUAGAUCCAACCUAGUUGUAGGGUUGGAAUGUCUUCUUAGAGGGACUGGUGAUUAUUAGUCACACGAGAUUGAGCAAUAACAGGUCUGUGGUGCCCUUAGAUGUUCUGGGCCGCACACGCGCUACACUGAAGUGAUCAGCUAGUUUUUCCCUCUCCGAGAGGAGCGGGUAAACUGUUGAACCCACUUCGUGGUAGGGAUCGGAGCUUGCAAUUAUUCUCCGUGAACCAGGAAUUCCCAGUAGGUGCAAGUCAUAAGCUUGCAUCGAUUACGUCCCUGCCCUUUGUACACACCGCCCGUCGCUACUACCGAUUGAGUGUUUUAGUGAGGACCUCGGAUUGCUUGCCUGGCGGUUAACGCUGCCUAGCUGGCGAAAAGACGUCCAAACUGUAGCACUUAGAGGAAGUAAAAGUC
This 1239-nucleotide ribosomal RNA is filed under the name metagenome. Its description in RNAcentral is "SSU rRNA". It matches the Rfam family "Eukaryotic small subunit ribosomal RNA", at positions 528 to 1790 of the family's 1831-position model. The record is from RNAcentral.